AACUGAUCAAGAAGCCUCCUGGCCAGAAGCGAGAAAAGAAGAGUUCAGCUCUUUUCGUCAACAAUAAUUUGGUGCCCAAACACGUGAGGCCUCAGAGAAGACUCAGGAUGCUAAAGGAGUUGCCCAAAACCAGAGCUAAGGUACCACCAGCAGGGGGCGCAUUGAAGCUUCGAGUUCCUCCUCUGGUGGAACUGCAUUAUUCAUGAUGGCAAAGAUAUGGAAUCAACUGAG
Long non-coding RNA from Cercocebus atys (sooty mangabey), 231 nucleotides. RefSeq lists it as uncharacterized. Lineage: Eukaryota; Metazoa; Chordata; Mammalia; Primates; Cercopithecidae. The transcript is spliced from 3 exons. The record is from RefSeq and is a predicted model, not a curated record.